RNAcentral lists this ribosomal RNA (292 nucleotides) under uncultured bacterium. Its description in RNAcentral is "partial 16S ribosomal RNA". It matches the Rfam family "Bacterial small subunit ribosomal RNA", at positions 505 to 796 of the family's 1533-position model. The record is from RNAcentral.
GUGUCAGCAGCCGCGGUAAGACGAACCGUGCGAACGUUGUUCGGAUUCACUGGGCUUAAAGGGCGCGUAGGCGGUCGACCAAGUCUGGGGUGAAAUCUUUCGGCUCAACCGGAAAAGUGCCCCCGAUACUGGCCGGCUAGAGGGAGAUAGGGGCAUGCGGAACUUCCGGUGGAGCGGUGAAAUGCGUAGAUAUCGGAAGGAACGCCGGUGGCGAAAGCGGCGUGCUGGAUCUCUUCUGACGCUGAGGCGCGAAAGCCAGGGGAGCAAACGGGAUUAGAUACCCCUGUAGUCC